AUGGAGAUGGACAAGCACAGCAGGUGCUGCACAGGAUUGGCGGCUGCUGGAGGCAACAAUUCAGCCGUGUGUGGAUGGAGCCAUCACUGGGGAAGCCGCUCCACGGCCCCGCCGAGGGCAGGUAGGGCUCAAGUGGAUGCCGAGCGGGGCGAGCUCGGCUUGGUCCGUGACGUCUUGGGAAAAGGCUGCGGGAACAGAGCUCCCACGCCGGGGGCAGCUCCAGCUGUGUCUCCCCGCCUGGGGCGCUGUCCCGGCACAGAGAGGGAAGGAAGCCAGGCAGGCAGGAAGGAAGGAAGGCAGGCAGGAAGGAAGCCAGGCAGGCAGCGCCCGCCCUCUGUCAGGGCGCCCCGGACCGAGGCCUGCGCGCCGUGGGAAAUGGCGGCGCCGGGAGGGGGGCGCUUAUGGCGGUGGGGCCGCGGCCCCGCUCCUCCCGCGGCGGGCUGGGGGCCCGGGGGCGGCCGGCCGGCAGCGAGAGAGCGGCGGAGUUCGGGCACGGCAAGGCCCCGUCGCUGUGCGGCCGGAGCGGCUCCCGUGCGGUGGCGCCGAGGCCCGGCCUGCCCGCGGCUGUGCCCCGUGUCCCGGGCAGGAGCUGCCGCCGUGAUGCGGUGCGAGCCCCGCGGGCAUCGCCGGCGCCGAGCCCGGGAAGAGGCGCCCCCGGGGCCCAGGCCCUUUGUUCCCGGCUCCAGCACUGGGUGAGGAGGGACACUGGACAUGCCUUCGAUUACGAUAGUUCUGUCACUGCUGUAGCUGUCCUGUGCCGUGCCUGGUGAUGACCAUGGGGUCAUUCUCCUGAGCAGACUGCUCUGUACUCAGCCACCUGGCCAGCAUUCUCCAGUAGAUUCACCAAGCUGGCAGCAUAACGACAGAGCUGUUUGGUACCUGUGGAGUUCCACUGCAAGGGUGUCUGAGCACCUCACUUUUGACUCAGAAAAUCUGCCCUUGCACAGUCCAGCAAGAUGGUUCUGAAGUCCUGGGGACUUGCCAGUUCAGUUCACUGGUUGGAAAGUAUUUUGCCAGGUUACAGCUAUGGCUUAAACACUUGAGGUGAAAGCUGGUGGUGGGGUGUGGAACCAUGGGUUCACCAGCAGCCUUUGUGCAUUAGAGGCUCUCUUUGGAGGUUCAGAUGUCCUCAUACCUCUGCUCUGAUACCUGUGUGUUAUACUCUUUCAGGUAUCUACUUGGAAAUAAGAGUGGGGCUCUCAUUUUUUGGCUGAUAGGGAUAAAACAUGUUGCAGUGGGUAUAAGUUGGAGCCAAAGUCAAGGAGUAUAUUUUUAAGCAAAGAAUGGUGCUUUCUCACCACUUCAAUCCCCAUCACAGAAGCUGUACCCUAGAACUGCUGUUCCCUGGGAUGGCCAUGCCAGCAUCAGCAGGGCACACAUGGCCACAAGCUGUUCUGCCCACUGGCAGAUAAAGCAACUUAAAGUCUCUGGCCUGCUUACAGCACAAAGUGACCAAAACAACUUCUUCUGCCCUGAAAAUAUCUUAAUUCCUGGUAGGUUAAGAAAUGACCCUGUGCUGGUAUAGCUCAGUGUUGCUAAAUGCAUCUUCUGAGGCUUUUGAAACAGAUACCCAAGAGCAGAUGGUACUAAUCACUGCUGUAGUGGCAUACUCAGCUCCUGUUUUUGUGGUUUCUAAAGGCCUGUUUUGGCAAGACUUUUUUUUUAAGCUAUUUGGGAAAGAACAUACAAGCUUUUGACACACAGUUCUAUGUAAAAUCUCUUUAGUUUUGCCAAUGGUGUUUAUUUACAGAGACCCUGCAUAUUGUAGAGGCCACUGCUUGUUCCUGGUGAUUCCCUAGAAUGGAAACUUGAACCAAUGAUUUUUGUAAAUGAAUACGCAAUAAAUCUGUGGAAAAGCUUCUCUCUUAAUGACUC
This 1875-nucleotide long non-coding RNA is filed under the name Parus major (Great Tit). Its description in RNAcentral is "lncRNA (ENSPMJG00000000317.1)". The record is from RNAcentral. Lineage: Eukaryota; Metazoa; Chordata; Aves; Passeriformes; Paridae.